CUUAUGAUAUGUUGUGACAUCCAAUGGGGAGAACUCUUUUCUAUAGACACUUCUUGAAUGUUAUCUUGUUCAUGCCAGUUAUUAAGGAGACAGUUUUCCAUAAAGGAUCCAGUAGUUUCAAAGACUGUCUUUUUUUUCAGGUUGUAUUUUCUUUGCAUUAGGAAUGAAUACAUUUUCAGGCGAAUUGUAUUUGGCUUUUCUGGUGACCUGGAAAAUAUUUGAAGGCUCUAUUUUAGUACAGAAAAAGCCUUUUUAAAAAUAUAUUUUAAUUUCAUGAACUUGUUCUGAUGCUGCUUUGAAAAGAGCUAAGGGCACUGAAGCCUGGUUUUGAGGUUGUACUGGAAAAGUUCCUAAAUGAAAUCACAUGCUGCAAUAUUCCAGGUAAUGACUUAUUUUUCUCUUUUCAUCUUUGCUUUUACGGAUGUAUUAUUUUCACUUUUUCACCUCCUUGCACUCAGUCUGCAAAAAGAACCUGUCUCAAGGCAGAGAGAGGCCCUGAUGCUGUCCUGCCUUGCUUGAACAAAACUAUCAACUGAUAGGAAUGGCAUGAGGUGUGGUAAGUGACAACAGUGAAAGAAGUAACCAACAAAGUCAACUUGCAUGAAGCUGGAAUCUAAUCAUAGAGGCAGAUCAGGUGAUCACAGGACAGACCGACUAAAAGACAAUAAAAGGCAACAGCUGAGGCACAUCAUCCAUAGUUCAUUUGCAGACUACGAGCUUUGCACUUAAACUGGUGAGAAAUCAGAAAAAAAAGAAAUAGCAUUACUUUUCCCUUUUAGUGGAAAGCUCCUGGGGCAAGUCCAAGGAAUUCUUACUUUCAGCUGGUCUUGCAUCUAUUGUCAUAGCUGUCACUGUCAUCACUGAUAGUAACUUAUGUUGUCAUACAUGUACAUCACCAUGGAGAUCCCAUAACAACAAUUAGUAGCUUUUGUUAGUCAUACACUGUCAUCAGAAGAGGAUACAGCCUGUGUAAAAGAACUGUUCUGGUGCCCACAUGAAGCAUUUUAUUAACUCAUUCCUAGCCAAAAUUCAAAACUGUAAAAGGAUGAUCAUCUUUCUUUGCAGGAAGAAGAUUGCCAGCUCCACUCAGAGACUCUGCCCUAAAGCACCAAGCUGCCAACAGAGGCACCACUUUAUUUUUAAGAGGUUGUUGCACACAUAAAACAGAGCACUCAGAAACAGAAAGACUUCUAACCACAACCUUUUCAGAACGCAUUGCACCCCUGCCACUCUAAGCUAUAAGGAAGCAAAAUAAGCACCCUAAAAUUCCCAUGCCACACACAAACUCAAAGACAGAAAAAGUUAGCAUAAACCCCUACUAAUCCCAUUUCACACUACCUUGUCUCUAUUUUAUUUUCAGAACAGGAAUCCUUUACAUCCUUAAAGUCAGUAGCUCCUAUCAAACACACGUAAAGAUCUACCCCUCGCUACAGACCUCACAAUAUAUUUCAAAGGCUUCCAAAAUUUCUAAUUCUAGCUAAACAAUAAUAUAGCAAUUUAUAAGAAAAUACUUGAGAUUCAUUGCAUAAUUACCUUAGCAUCCAGCUGCAAGAGAAUGUAUCUUCAUAGUUUGUUGAUAGUUGCGUACCAUAUUUCUUAUAUAACACCAAACAGAACAAGAAUAGUCCACCCUACUCUGGGGCAGGAAAAAUUUUGAAGGAAGGAAGAGAGGAGAGAGGAAAAAAGGGAGAAGAAAAAAAAUAAAGAAAAAAAAAAAAAAAACA
This 1724-nucleotide long non-coding RNA is filed under the name Anas platyrhynchos platyrhynchos (common mallard). Its description in RNAcentral is "lncRNA (ENSAPLG00000024088.1)". Lineage: Eukaryota; Metazoa; Chordata; Aves; Anseriformes; Anatidae. The record is from RNAcentral.